GACAGAGGUCCCGAGCGUUAGGCGGAAUCACUGGGCUUAAAGCGUGUGUAGGCGGAUGCCUAAGUACCUUGUGAAAUCCCACGGCUCACCCGUGGAACUGCUUGGUAUACUGGGUGUCUUGAGCCACUUAGGGGCUACCGGAACAAAUGGUGGAGCGGUGAAAUGCGUAGAUAUCUGGAGGAAUACCGGUGGCGAAGGCGGCAUCCUGGACCGGCAUUGACGCUGAUGAACGAAAGCUAGGGGAGCAAACGGG
This 253-nucleotide ribosomal RNA is filed under the name uncultured bacterium. RNAcentral's name for it is "partial 16S ribosomal RNA". It matches the Rfam family "Bacterial small subunit ribosomal RNA", at positions 524 to 776 of the family's 1533-position model. The record is from RNAcentral.